This 741-nucleotide ribosomal RNA is filed under the name uncultured Alphaproteobacteria bacterium. RNAcentral describes it as "bacterial SSU rRNA". It matches the Rfam family "Bacterial small subunit ribosomal RNA", at positions 94 to 872 of the family's 1533-position model. Lineage: Bacteria; Pseudomonadati; Pseudomonadota; Alphaproteobacteria. The record is from RNAcentral.
AGUGGCAGACGGGUGAGUAACAUGUAGGUAUCUGCCCUUUGGCCUGGAAUAACACGAGGAAACUUGUGCUAAUACCGGAUAAGUCUUUACGGAGAAAGCUUUAUGCACCAUUGGAUGAGCCUGCACUUGAUUAGUUUGUUGGUGGGGUAAUGGCCUACCAAGACUGUGAUCAAUAGCUGAUUUGAGAGGAUGAUCAGCCACAUUGGGACUGAGACACGGCCCAAACUCCUACGGGAGGCAGCAGUGGGGAAUCUUGCACAACGGAGGAAACUCUGAUGCAGCGAUGCCGCGUGAGUGAAGAAGGCCUUUGGGUUGUAAAGCUCUUUCGUCGGGGAAGAAAAUGACUGUACCCGAAUAAGAAGGUCCGGCUAACUUCGCGCCGGCAGCCGCGGUAAUACGAAGGGACCUAGCGUAGUUCGGAAUUACUGGGCUUAAAGAGUUCGUAGGUGGUUGAAAAAGUUGGUGGUGAAAUCCCAGAGCUUAACUCUGGAACUGCCAUCAAAACUUUUCAGCUAGAGUAUGAUAGAGGAAAGCAGAAUUUCUAGUGUAGAGGUGAAAUUCGUAGAUAUUAGAAAGAAUACCAAUUGCGAAGGCAGCUUUCUGGAUCAUUACUGACACUGAGGAACGAAAGCAUGGGUAGCGAAGAGGAUUAGAUACCCUCGUAGUCCAUGCCGUAAACGAUGUGUGUUAGACGUUGGAAAUUUAUUUUCAGUGUCGCAGCGAAAGCGAUAAACACACCGC